GCCAGGUGUGGUGGCGCAUGCCUGUAAUCCCAGCUACUUGGGAGGCUGAGGCAGGAGAAUUGCUUGAACCCAGGAGGUGGAGGCUGCAGUGAGCCGAGAUUGUGCCACUGCACUCCAGCCUGGGCGACGGAGUAAGACUCUGUCUCAA
Molecule: small RNA, 148 nt
Filed under: Macaca fascicularis (crab-eating macaque)
Lineage: Eukaryota; Metazoa; Chordata; Mammalia; Primates; Cercopithecidae
Description: Metazoan signal recognition particle RNA (ENSMFAG00000052924.1)
Source: Rfam by way of RNAcentral